Molecule: long non-coding RNA, 3345 nt
Filed under: Gallus gallus (chicken)
Lineage: Eukaryota; Metazoa; Chordata; Aves; Galliformes; Phasianidae
Description: lncRNA (ENSGALG00010027670.1)
Source: RNAcentral
CUAUUGGAUGGCCAGAAUACAAAUCCUUGUGUCAGGGUACAAAUCUUCAAACUGAUGGAUUUUUUUUUACUUUAUCUGAGGUCGUAGUAGAUCCCAUGCUCGGGGACAAAUCCAGGCUCUUUUUCCACGUCCCAUGUGCUCCAGAACAAUAAUUCAAGACACAUGUGUUUACCCGCUGGUAAUCCAGAGACCAGCUGUUUCCUCCCUGUGCGACGUGAGUGCUCCUUUCUGUCACACAACUGUAGGACUUGCUGAGGACCAGGACGGAACAAGUGAAGGAUCAGAGCAUAUGUGUUAUUGUUUGCUGUACGUUGCUCUUCCUGGUGUGUUUAUAAGGCUUUGGUCUUCCCAAAGAAAAUAUUUCUAUAUUUUAUGGAAAUAUAAUUAGAGGUAUAAUAAGUGUUUUAAAAUACUUGAUAGACUGUAGUCGGAGGUCAAAGAGCGUGAGAGCCCAAAUGCGUAGGUAUUCUCCUGCUCUCUCUGAACUGCCCGGCAGCAAGCAGUGCUGAGACACACUCUUUGAAAUACCAUUGCUAUUGGAUAGAUUUACAUCUAAUUCAUUCUAUACUUUUACUUUCGAACCCUUUGACUUUGUUGUUUCUUAUCACAGAUCUGCAAAUGUAUAUAAAAAAGGAAAACACAAGUUUUUCAGCUGUUGUUGUUGCCAGGGAAGCCCGCAGUGAGAAGCAGAGAUGAGCUAUAUUAGAUUUUUUGUAGAGAAAUGAAUGCAUGGUGGGGAGAGAGGCAAGAGAGGAGACAGGACAUGACCGUUCCUUACUCUGCCAGGGAAAAGGUUUGAAAUAGACAGCAAUUAUCUUCUGAAGAAGCAGCAUGGAUAGGAAAAGCCCAGGACUAUUAGAACCACUUAUUUCUCAAGAGACAUAAUGAUAAUGAGGGCUAGCAGGGCAGUAAUACCACAAAAAUAGCUCUUUCUAUAUACUCUUAUAAACUAUCUUCUUUGCACUGGGCCAAGCCAGCAAGAGAAGAAUCAUAAAGAAACCAAAAGAAAAAAAAUUAACUGAACAUCUUUCCACCAAAAUAAAAGUGGAAGAAGUGAGCAAAUAAGCACGUAUCACUAAGGCCAUGUUUUAACCAGCAUCAGCUCAUCAUUACACGGGACAUCGCUUGUAUCCUGCUUUUUGAAACAGCUGGUGUAAAUCACUCAACUAGCAACUCAUUGAAAUGCAAACAAACAAGAUCAUCUUAUGAGUUGACCUGAUGUAUUACGACAAGAAAUAUUUUGGCUUCUGCAGUCAUCAUCACUUGUGUUUACAAACUGUCAGCUGCUUCCAAGGUGUAAGCUUAUCACCUCCAGAAUAUUAAAGUUCCAGAAAAAGAACGUGUCUAAAAAGUUUGAGAAGAAUAUUUAUAAAAAUGGACUGCUGGCAAAGUUGCUGUUGUUCAUUUUAUGCCACGGAGGUUUAUGGGUGAAAACCUGUCUAGUUUUUUGUGUGUAUAUUAAAUGAGAAAGAUUAGCUAAAUAUCCUUUCUAGAGAUGGAUUAUGUGAACUCUUAAACAUUCUUAGUAUUCAUUUAGAAAAAUAAGUCUGACACGAGAGUGCCAUUAAUAUCACUGGCUAUAUAUACAACAAAAAAAGAGAGGGAUGGAGAGAGAAAAACACGACAAAAAAUCUGGUAUUCAUAAUCACUGCAGCAAGGAUAGGAAUUUUACCUUUUCAAGCAUUCACUAAUUCCAUGAGUGUUCAUAUCUCCCUAUGGUGUUGCAUUUCUACCAAGUGAUCUCAAAUUUACAUAGAAGCAAACAAGGGCAAAAUGUUUUACAGAAAACAGUGGCUUUGUGUGGGCAGACAUCAAGGCAGAGCGAGGGCUGUUUAUCAAAACUUCCAGUUUAUUCUCCUGCGAGUUGAGCGUUGCUGAGAAUUUUUAUCUCAACAGUGAUUAUCUGCUAUUGCCACUUUCUGCCCCUAAAAGUUUCUGGUUCUUGUCUACUCUUGCUGGACAAGUGUGCCUGUGCAGGACCAAAACCCUGAUAAUUUUAUUCUGAAUUGAGAAAAAAUGAAAGCUUUGGUUUGGCACAAUGUCUUUGUGAGGAGGACACACACAUUGCCCUGUGAAGUCCUUAGCAGUGCAGCCGGGACGACAAGGUUUUCAUGUACUCAUGCGUGAGGAAUGCAGCUCUCCAUGAAUUCAAUGGUGGGGCAGAUUUGUCUUUUGAGAUUAAAACUCUUACUAAUCUGCUGGGAGCAUAUGAUUUCAAAGAGUGUGUCUGACUACAAUGAAUGGCACUCCUGCAUGCUGAGCACUCCUGCUGCACGCUUCAGCAAAGCGCAUCUUGCAGACAUUUUUGUUGCUGUAAAUCACCCCAGAGUUAACAGAAGUCUGCCACAUAGCUGGUCACAGUCUAAAAGUUUCUUGAACAUAGAAGGACUUUUCUGGUUUGAGAAAGAUUCUUCAAGCUACAUUCUGGCCCCAUGGAUGUUAAUAGUUUUGUCGUCGAUUUCAGCAAGGCCAGAAUUUCAACCCUGUUGACUGAGGGAUAUCUGCAAAAAAAGGAAGUAUUUAACCAGUUACUGCUUAGAACUUAAACUGGUCUGGUCUCUGUGGCUACAGCUUACAUCUACAGUCUUCAUAAAACAAAAUAUACCUACUUACAAGCUAUUGGUUCCUGCAAUGGUACUUUCUAUUUUCACCAGUGAGACUAUAUCAAAAUGCAGGUGUUUGCGCCCAGGCUGGAUGGGGUCCUGGGCAGCCUCAUCUGCUGUCUGAUUCAGUGGUUAGCAACCUCGAUCACAGCAGGGGACUGGAACUCGAUGACCUCUGUGGACCUUUCCAACCCAAGCCAUUCUAUGAUUCUGUGAAUGUCCUUUGAAAAUGUAGCAAGCAAAACAAAUGAAUCUGAGCCAUAGAUUUUACUUCACAUGAACUAAGUGGCAUUAAGGGUUGCUGUAUUUUUCUGGACUCAGUUGCAGAGUUUCUUCAGCAAAGACAGCUUCCAGCAGGAAAAAAAAACACAAUCUAUUCUUGGAGCUGUGUGAAAAUUUGAAGGUUGUCUUUAUCCUCCCAAAUGUAAAUCCUGCCUGCCCACGUUAGCAUCUCUGAAUCUUAGAAAAAGUGAGUAAAGGUGAGAAUUUCACCCAUAAUACAGUAGCUGCAUGCUGACAAUUAACAAGGGAAGCACCUAGUCAGAUUUGUACAUGAAAUUCAAUGACAAUAAACAUCCUGAGUACUUGGAGUGUGGUCUUUGUGCAGCACGGAACUUUCACUGAGUGUUCCCCACAAGCAAGACUUGUGUUGCAAACAACUGAGGAAUAAAAAGACUUCUCACCCAUAUUAGGUUUUUAUGAAACACUUCUGAGUCCUCCCUCCCAGCAAGAAGCCUGGCAC